This 281-nucleotide long non-coding RNA is filed under the name Olea europaea subsp. europaea. Lineage: Eukaryota; Viridiplantae; Streptophyta; Magnoliopsida; Lamiales; Oleaceae. The record is from RNAcentral.
GGUUCCAGCAAAUAAACAAGUUUCCAUAAAGGCUCCAUGUCUGACAAUGUCCAAAACUUUGUAUCUCAAAGUUGUCUUGAAACUCAAAAGCCACUUGGAUCAAUCACCAUCCAAAAUUUUCUGUAGAGCAACUAUAUCCAAAAUAAUCAAAACGAACGAAAAUAAAAAAAUAAGGGAUGCACUUUUUUAUCUGAUGAACAUUCAACCAGAUAAAUAUACGCAACCUGGAAAAACUAAAACAAAAAAUUAGGAUAAAAACAGUUAAACCAAUUCAAUAAAAU